RNAcentral lists this long non-coding RNA (1082 nucleotides) under Salmo salar (Atlantic salmon). RNAcentral's name for it is "lncRNA (ENSSSAG00000102907.1)". The record is from RNAcentral. Lineage: Eukaryota; Metazoa; Chordata; Actinopteri; Salmoniformes; Salmonidae.
AGAAAACGUUAAACAGAUACACCAAACGAAGUGAAAAAUACAAUGUGUAGCCUGGAUAGAAGCUUACAUACCGUGCUCCACUCGGCGCCAUAUUGAUAUCGAUUGACCCUCGGUGUUUCUGUGUGUAGUGCACGAGGCUGAGCGCAGCGCUGCAUCCCCUCCACCCGCAGGCGGUACAACAGUAGACCCUGUCUCCUGCAAGAUAAAUGGUACUUUGGGAAUUGCGUUUAAUUAGGAAUAACUGAGGAGAGAGAGGCUUGCUCAUCCACCGGUGGUCUAAUCACAACAUGUGUUCAAGCCAACUGACAAGGUUGCGCAGUCAUGUGCUUACCUAAAUAUCCCAGGAGGUUAGGAGGAGCAGAUGUCUGUCUGCCCUGUGAGCUGCCAAGUAGGUCUGAAGCAGGGGAGCCACAAGACACAAGGCCCCAAAUGGUGUGACAAAGGAUGUGCAGGAAGCCUGUCUCCGCCUGGGGCAGGAUGGAUCCUAACUCCAUCCACUGUCCAUCUCUGACAGCCAGGAGAGAGGACAGCCAGGAGAGAGGACAGGCAGGAGAGGGGACAGGCAGGAGACAGGACAGGCAGGAGACAGGACAGCCAGGAGACAGGACAGCCAGACCUGCAUACAUAACAUAGAGCUGUUGGGGAUCAAUCAGACGAGAGCCCCUCGGUCAUCCAGUCAUCUAUUUAGGUCCACUCCGUUGAGAGAAUGAUUAGCAGCAUAAAGAAAGGACAGUGUUGAACUUCCAUAGACUCACUGAUAGUACAGUAUCAUGGAGAUGGUGUUAGAGAAGCCGGCGGUAAACCUGUUCCUUUUCUAAAUCAUUUGUUGACAUUAAGUUUAUGACUUAGAGUUGGAGAGAUAGAUGAACGAUCAUAUUCAUUCUGUUCAUUUAUCUUGAACUACUUGUCACUGAAUUGUACUACUAUCUCAUCAAACAUAACCGUCUCAAAUAAAUGGUAAGUAAUAAAUCGGAGGCUGUAUCUUUUAGCACAGUAUUGUGCAUUAUUUGCAUUCCAAUCAACAUUUAUCUUGUCUGUGUCUCUUUUCAAUAAAGUUUGCUGAUUUAUUGUGGAAGCCUGCC